Molecule: ribosomal RNA, 119 nt
Filed under: Pteropus alecto (black flying fox)
Lineage: Eukaryota; Metazoa; Chordata; Mammalia; Chiroptera; Pteropodidae
Source: RNAcentral
GUCUAUGGCCAUGCCACCCUGAACAGGCCCAAUCUUCUCUGAUCUCGGAAGCUAAGCAGGGUCUGGCCUGGUUAGUACUUGGAUGGGAGACCACCUAGGAAGACCAAGUGCUGUAGGCA